Molecule: ribosomal RNA, 616 nt
Filed under: Hemisphaericaspora elongata
Lineage: Eukaryota; Fungi; Ascomycota; Pichiomycetes; Serinales; Debaryomycetaceae
Description: Spathaspora elongata partial large subunit ribosomal RNA
Rfam family: Eukaryotic large subunit ribosomal RNA
Source: RNAcentral
UGCAUAUCCCAAAAGCUGAGGAAAAGAAACCAACAGGGAUUGCCUUAGUAGCGGCGAGUGAAGCGGCAAAAGCUCAAAUUUGAAAUCUGGCGUAUUCUGCGUCCGAGUUGUAAUUUGAAGAAGGAUACUUUGGGGUUGGCUCUUGUCUAUGUUUCUUGGAACAGAACGUCACAGAGGGUGAGAAUCCCGUGCGAUGAGAAGCCCAAUUCCGUGUAAAGUGCCUUCGAAGAGUCGAGUUGUUUGGGAAUGCAGCUCUAAGUGGGUGGUAAAUUCCAUCUAAAGCUAAAUAUUGGCGAGAGACCGAUAGCGAACAAGUACAGUGAUGGAAAGAUGAAAAGAACUUUGAAAAGAGAGUGAAAAAGUACGUGAAAUUGUUGAAAGGGAAGGGCUUGAGAUCAGACUUGGUAUUUUGUAUGUCUUGCUUUCGGGUGGGGCCUCUGCAGUUUACUGGGCCAGCAUCGGUUCGGGUGGUAGGACAAUUGCGAAGGAACGUGGCACUGCUUCGGUGGUGUGUUAUAGCCUUUGUGGAUACUGCCUGUCUGGACCGAGGACUGCGUCAUUUGACUAGGAUGCUGGCAUAAUGAUCUUAAGUCGCCCGUCUUGAACCCACGGACCA